Gallus gallus (chicken) is the source of this 991-nucleotide long non-coding RNA. RefSeq lists it as uncharacterized. The transcript has 2 exons. The record is from RefSeq and is a predicted model, not a curated record. Lineage: Eukaryota; Metazoa; Chordata; Aves; Galliformes; Phasianidae.
AUGCUCAAGCUGCUCUGAGUCACAGAGCGGGCUGAGGCGCUGCCGGCAGAUUCGCCGCCGGCUCCUCCGCUCCUGGAACCGCUCCCCCGUACCGUGCCGCCCACCUAUCCGCACACCUCCGCCUCAGAUACCAAGCCCGAAUUUUCUCCGGGGCGCAAGCGGCUGGGGGACCGGCGGGGAGCGAUCGGCAGAUUCGCCGCGCGGGGCCCGGCGUGCCGUUGGAGGGAAAAGGCGGGGAAGCGCCGCGCCGCCCCGCAGCGGCCUCCAGGGCCCCGCAGCGCCGCCCCCGCACGGCCGGGCCUGCGCGGCUCCUCUCGGCGCUCGCGCUGAGGCCCCGCGGUCCCGCUACCCCGGAGAGCUCAUCCGUAGCCCCGCUCCCACAGAGCACCGCCCGGCUGUGCGGCUUAAGGCCGCGCGGUUAGAGCAGGGAGCGGCCUUUGUCAUUAUAAAUUUCUACGUGGAUCCACAGAUUGCUGUCAUCAACAUAUUAAAUAUAUAACUAAAUGCCUUUCUGAGACCCGUGACCACAAAUUUAAAGAGUUAAGCAACGAGAAACACGUGGAACAAGCAAAGUAGGUAUGGUUUGACCAGAACCACAGAGAACAAUGUCAAAGCAGGCACUGCAGGAAGGAGAAAUCAAAGGUCAUUUUCAAAACAGGAGGAACAGAAAUCAUGUAUGACAUAAGAAAAUCAGAAAAGAUCUUCCUUUGGCUUUUCGUUGUUUCUGAGAGGCAUUUAGGGAAAAUUCAGAGGUCCAGAUACUAAAAAGGCACUGGUACGUAUCCAAGCAAUGUACAGAAAGUAUGAGAUGCUUUCCUGUAAGAUGCACGGCAUGCUGGCAGGCCAUGGAAACCACAGCUGUGCAGUUCCUGCUCAGUUCCAAGCUGUUGUGGCUGCAGCAGUUGGUCCUGGGCAGAGACUUGGACUGCGAGCCUCAGCCCCUUCACCUGUAUGGGCAGCUCUAACUCGUGGCCUUUGCUCAAAUAUAGCA